GACGAACGCUGGCGGCGUGCCUAAUACAUGCAAGUAGAACGCUGAAGGAGGAGCUUGCUCUUCUGGAUGAGUUGCGAACGGGUGAGUAACGCGUAGGUAACCUGCCUGGUAGCGGGGGAUAACUAUUGGAAACGAUAGCUAAUACCGCAUAAGAGUAGAUGUUGCAUGACAUUUAUUUAAAAGGUGCAAUUGCAUUACUACUAGAUGGAACUGCGUUGUAUUAGCUAGUUGGUGGGGUAACGGCUUACCAAGGCGACGAUACUUAGCCGACCUGAGAGGGGGGUCGGCCAACCUGGGACUGGGACACGGCCCAGACCCCUACGGGAAGCAGCAGUAGGGAAACUUUGGAAAUGGGCGGAAGUCUGACCGAGCAACGCCGCGUGAGUGGAGAAAGUUUUCAGAUCGUAAAGCUCUGUUGUAAGGGGAGAACGAGUGUGAGAGUGGAAAGUUCACGCUGUGACGGUAUCUUACCAGAAAGGAACGGCUAACUACGUG
Molecule: ribosomal RNA, 495 nt
Filed under: uncultured bacterium
Lineage: Bacteria
Description: partial 16S ribosomal RNA
Rfam family: Bacterial small subunit ribosomal RNA
Source: RNAcentral